Long non-coding RNA from Rhineura floridana, 835 nucleotides. RefSeq lists it as uncharacterized. The record is from RefSeq and is a predicted model, not a curated record. Lineage: Eukaryota; Metazoa; Chordata; Lepidosauria; Squamata; Rhineuridae. The transcript is spliced from 4 exons.
CGUUCUGCAGGUGAGAGGGGAGUAUCCUGUGCACUGUCUGUGUCUGGCUGCAGGACCUCUGCUGUAUCUGGGGUGCUCUGCAGCUGAGGGGGAGAAGGAGCUGGAUUCUCAGGAGGCUCCUCCAUGUCUCCUUCUGAGUCUGCUGCUCCUGGGUCUGCUGCUGUUACUCCCGAGUCAUCCUCAUCUGAGGAGUCCUCUGAUGGGGCCAUGACAGGGUCAACGUGCUGAUGGGAGGGACAGAAAUAAAAGCCAAAGGCAAGGAACAGAAGCAGGGUUCAGACUGAAGGCACAGAAGGCUAGAUAAAGUCAAGGGCAUCCUCUGACUUUGGAGCAUAGCCACUUAUUCUGUGUGUUCUAUCGUACUUCAUUUGGAUUGCACCACUGAAGAAAAGGAUUGUGGAGUUGUACUGCACUGGUGAAAGAGAAGGUUUGGGUGCAGAAUUCAGCAUCCUUAGAUCAAAGUACUACAUAAUCACUUCAAUUUUCUUCCCCGAGCGAUAAGACUUGACUAUAAAACCAGCAGUUUAAACACUCAGCCAGUUCUCCAUGUUUUAUCCUGGCCUUAUCUCCAGUCAUCAUCAGGCACCUGCUCUCCAUAUAACAUCAAGAUUUCUUAUGUUUUACAAUCAGAUACCAGUGCAAGCAGAUAUGAACAAAAUUUAACAAAAAUAAACAAGGGAACAAAAUCUCUCAGGAUAGAUAUCCCCAAAAUUAAUUCAGUGCGCUGUCCAGCUAACCAGAAAAUGGACCAUUUUACCUGUCUCUAUAAUAACUACUACAACUAAACACUUCUCCAAAUCUGCCAGGCUUCUAUGGAUGGGCAAUGAACAAAUGA